Molecule: long non-coding RNA, 877 nt
Filed under: Triticum aestivum (bread wheat)
Lineage: Eukaryota; Viridiplantae; Streptophyta; Magnoliopsida; Poales; Poaceae
Description: long non-coding RNA (TAES_LNC027664)
Source: RNAcentral
GGAUGAUGAUACGCCAAUCAAGAGGAGCUGAGACCAGACCUGACCGCGCCUGUGGGGGUAAGCACCCCAAGGCGACCUCUUCGCUUGUUGGGGUGAGAACCCGAAGGCGACCUCUCUUCCCUUUGGGGUGAGCACCCAAAGGCAACCUCUGCGAUCUCUCCGUCUGUUGGGGUGAGCACCCGAAGGCGACCUCUGCGAUCUCUCUGUCUGUUGGGGUGAGCACCCGAAGGCGACCUCUGCGAUCUCUCCGUCUGUUGGGGUGAGCACCCGAAGGCGACCUCUGCGAUCUCUCCGUCUGUUGGGGUGAGCACCCGAAGGCGACCUCUGCGAUCUCUCCGUCUGUUGGGGUGAGCACCCGAAGGCGACCUCUCCUUAAGAUACCCAAGCCUCAAUGACUUUACUUCAUGCUUGUGGGAGUGAUACUAAAUCCUCAUUACCAUCUUCAGACCUGUGUUAUGUUAAAGUUUAAGUCUAAAGACCUUGCAUCAUAUCUAUUCAUGAUUUUAGCCAUCAUGUUCUUGUAAGGAUUAUUGCUACCUGCUAUGGUAUUUGUUACUUAGUAGUAACUGAUGUUUCUGCAUAUUGGUUUCGUUUCUGACUGGUUUUACUUUCUGAAUUGCUUUCCAUUCGUUUCUAAACAGUAGCUAUCUGUUUUUCCCCCUAUUUGUAUCACUUAAGCUAAGCAUAUAAUAUGUUGCUACAUGCAAAUUUGGUCAGCAAUCAACCCAGUCGGUUUGAGUCUAUGGAUCGGGUAGAUAAAUAUGAUCUGAGGUUGUGGUAGUAGCUCUCCACGGCAAACAGAUGAUUUGAGGUUGUGGCUGUAGCUCUCUACAGCGAACAGUGCAUCUGUUUUGAGUAUCCUGUCACUUUGUUGUGG